UAAGAUUGCAGGUAGAGAUACGCUGUAUACUCGUGUAACCGAAUUAGCGUUUAAGUGUCAUGUAAUGGCACCGGUCACGAGGCCGCCGCGAGGCGGUUUUUUUAGUU
Molecule: small RNA, 107 nt
Filed under: human gut metagenome
Description: DUF3800-I RNA
Rfam family: DUF3800-I RNA
About the family: Actinobacteria, Firmicutes, Fusobacteria, Proteobacteria (1 example), Tenericutes (2 examples).
Source: RNAcentral